GGGGAUAUAGGAUAAUGGUAAUCUAUUGAAGUUGCAUUUCAAGGAUCAAAGUUCGAUUCUUUGUAUCUCCA
RNAcentral lists this transfer RNA (71 nucleotides) under Serendipita indica DSM 11827. RNAcentral's name for it is "Piriformospora indica DSM 11827 tRNA". It matches the Rfam family "tRNA". From Rfam's summary of the family: Transfer RNA (tRNA) molecules are approximately 80 nucleotides in length. Lineage: Eukaryota; Fungi; Basidiomycota; Agaricomycetes; Sebacinales; Serendipitaceae. The record is from Rfam by way of RNAcentral.